RNA transcript from Manihot esculenta (cassava), 5365 nucleotides. RefSeq lists it as uncharacterized. The record is from RefSeq and is a predicted model, not a curated record. Lineage: Eukaryota; Viridiplantae; Streptophyta; Magnoliopsida; Malpighiales; Euphorbiaceae. The transcript is spliced from 7 exons.
UCAGAGUAGAGAAAAAAAGGAGGGAAAAUACACAGUAGGUUUUGGCGCGAAAUCCCAAGCGUCGGCUCCAGAGACCGAAACCCUAAAUACCGCCCAGAACAGUAGCCAGAAGGCGCAAAAGCAAUGCUGCGCAGCGCAAUCCCUCCGUCCUCCAUCCAUAGCUGAACAAACGCAACGCAACGCUUCUCUGCUCCGUUCGCUUUUCCGUCCGACUACUGAAUCCUCGCCAUUUUUUCCACUUAUCAUCAUCUGUCUUCAUUCAGCAGCCAUGGUUGUGCUCAGGUCUCGCGAAGUACUCCCUACUAAGCCCGCUUCAAAACCGCUAACAAAUCGGGCUACUCCUGAACCUGUCACUCCUGUCCAAUUCAGAGAACUCUCCACCCGCCAGUCUCCGCUUUCGCUUACCCCGAACCUCGAAACUCAUCAAUUGGAUUCCGAUUCUGGUUCCGCUUCCUUCCGGAGACGGAGCCUCCGUAUUGCUUCUAAAUCAGUUCCUGACAAUGGCUGUAUUCAAAAUGAGCCCCGCAGCAGGAAUAGUGCCGCGACCAUGCGGUCGGUUGAAGAGAAGGAAGGGAUCGAGGAGGGAAACCGUUGUCCUCUGCUGGAUCAAAUCAACAAUGUAGGCAGUGCGGAGGUUAAUGGGGUUGGAAUGGAUGUUGAUGGGAAUUUUUCGGGGAUUUUGAAUCUGAGGUCUGGGAAACGGGUUGUUAGGAGAAGAGUGGGAUAUAGUGGUUAUAAUUCGGUUACUGAGGCAGGAACGGAACGUAAAGGCAAGGGUUUGAUUUCUGACAAGAAUGGGAGUAGUAAGCGGACAAGUGAACUUGUUAUUGAAGGGAAAGGAAAGGGAAAAUUAGGCGAGGAAAAGAAAUUCGAUAAUGGGCAUGUUGUAGAGAAUUUAAAUGACAAUGCGAUUAGAGAAAUGAUAGAGACAGGGGAGGGGAGUGAAGUGGCUGGUGUUGAUGAGAAAUUGGAGGAAAAGCAAAAUCCUGAUGAGAGUGAUAAUUCAAGGGGAAGGAAGAGAUGUGCAAGAGAAGAAAUAAGGAAGAGAGGUGAAGAUGUUUUUGUCACUGUGAAAUUGGAGAAAACCCAAAACCAGAGCAGCAAUUCAAGGUUAAGGAGGAGGUAUAGCCAAGAAGAAAAAGGAAAAGAAAAAUUGAUUGAUGAUGCUUCAGUAUCAAAUGGUAAGGAUGCAUUGGAUUUGGAACUGGAAUUGAAGUCAAAGGUUAAGGAGUUUGUUGAUAGCAUGGGGGAUAAUGUGGCGUUGGAAAGUGAAAGGAACACUAGGAACGCAAACACAAGGAGAAAUGGAUCAAGAAUGGAGCAAUUUCGGGAUAUAGCCAGGAAAAAUGCUUCUCGAUUUGCUAAUUUUGAUCUUCAAGAGAAAGAGGAGGAACGUUUGUCUCCUCAGGUUGAUGUAGAAAUGGCAUAUGUGGAAGAGAAUCAGAAAAUUGAAGACUGGCCAGGUCCUUUCUCUACAGCUAUGAAGAUUAUUAGGGAUAGAACAAAUAAACUUAACUUGCAGCAGGGCCCCUCCAUUUUAGAAAAAGCAACAUCUGUGCCAAUAACUUGGAUUCCUAGAAACAGCCAGGGCUCUAAUCGCUCAAGAGCAUUUGUUGUUCCUUUGCUGCAAGAACUCUGCAUGAAAGUUCUUGUGGACAAUUGUGAGGCAGUCACUUCGCUUGAGCAUGUCCCAGAUGCAUUGAGGCACAGACUUUGCCAUUUGCUCUGUAGUUGUCGGAGAAUGAACAGUAAUUUUUUGGACCUUCUUGUACGUGGAUCCCCUACUGAGAUACGCAUUAAGGAUUGUUCAUGGCUGACAGAGGAGGAUUUCGUGAAAUGUUUUGAGGCUUGUGACACCAAUAACUUAACGGUUUUACAACUUGACCAAUGUGGUCGCUGCAUGCCGGAUUAUAUUUUGCCAGUUACCUUAGCUAGGUCAUCAAGAAGCUUGCCUGUGCUAAUUACUUUAUCCCUGGCUGGUGCAUGUCGGCUUUCAGACGUUGGGCUUAGUCUACUUGUUUCUUCUGCUCCUACACUAAGAUCUAUUAAUCUUGGUCAAUGCUCCCUCCUUUCUUCCACUAGUAUCAACACUAUAGCAGACUCAUUGGGAUCAUUUCUUCAGGAACUGUACAUUGAUGAUUGUCAAAGCCUUGAUCCAAUGCUUAUUUUGCCAGCACUGAAGAAGUUAGAACGUCUGGAGGUGUUAUCUCUAGCUGGAAUUCAAACUGUUUGUGAUGGUUUUGUGAGGGAAUUUGUUGUUGCUUGUGGUCAUAACAUGAAGGAGCUUGUUUUGAAGGAUUGUGUGAAAUUGACUGAUUCUUCCAUCAAAUUUAUAGCUGAAACCUGUCCUCGGCUAUGUGCACUUGACAUCGUUAACUUGAGGAAAUUGACAGAUUCUGCUUUGGGAUAUCUUGCGAAUGGUUGCCAAGAAAUUCAGACAUUAAAACUCUGCCGCAAUACAUUCAGCGAUGAAGCUGUUGCUGCAUUCGUAGAAACAUCUGGGAAGCUUUUGAAAGAACUUUCACUGAACAAUGUCAGGAAGGUGGGGCACAAUACAGCCUUAUCACUUGCCAGAGUUUCAAGAAACUUGCUGAGUUUGGAUUUAUCUUGGUGCCGGAACAUGACAAAUGAGGCAGUGGGUUUGAUUGUGGAUAGCUGUUCAUCAUUGAGGAUGCUUAAAAUUUUUGGAUGUGGGCAGAUCACAAACGUGUUCCUAGAUGGUCACUCGAAUCCAGAAUUAGAAAUCAUUGGUUUGAAGAUGUCUCCAGUACUGGAACAUAUUCGGCAACCGGAUUCACAAGAAUUUCCAUUGCGAUAUUCCUCAGUGUCUUCUUUGUAGAAUAAAGUAGUUGAUACGCAUAAUAUUGAUAGUCUCAUAGUUUUAUUUGCAAUGACUACUGAAGACUUCAAAUAUAUCAGUGCUUAACAUGUGCUAAAGACUAUCUCUCUCUCUUUUCCUGUGUGUGUGUAAACCUAGUGUAGCAUGCAUUUGCUUUUCUUACCAAAGAUUCUAGGGUUGUAUGUGGAAUGGAUCAUAUCUACAAGAAGUGGAAAUUGCAGCGUCACAAACAAAGAAAUUGGCAAACAAGCUAAGGCACCUAUUGGAAUAAGCAUCCAUGCCUUACGGUUGCAAAAUACAAGAUAAAGUGUAGCACUAAACGCUACCAUCAUUGAUGUUAUGGAGAGGAACAGAGUAACUAGACCGAAUGUCAACCGAUUGGGAAGAGUAUAAAGAAAAUCAGCUUCUGCAUAUCGUGCUGUGAGAAUGGACAAGAACAUUAAGAUGGCAGCUACUGAUGAAAAGAGUGUGAGUGCAUCUGCUACUGCAAAUAUUAUAAAUGCUUUUUGUUUUGAGAAUAUCGGAUAACCAUCAUCAUUAUUGUUUCCGCCAGGUACUGUGAUUGCUGCAGCAAAGAUUACUGUAGCAAUUAGUGCUGCUGCAACUGUGCAUGAGCUUGCUGCGUCUUUCAACCAUUUCUCACCUUCUUUCACCAAUCCCUUGUGUUCCUCUGUAAAUAACAUUGCUGGAGUUCUCCCUUCAGAGUUUUUAUCCUCUUUGCAGGCAAGUGGCACAAUCUUCUCCACUUCCUGUAUAAAUUAGUGUUAAACAUCAUUUAGGAGAUCAAUUUCCUUUUAGAAAUACAAAAUAAAAAAUCAGGUACCUUAAACCAAUGCAGCUCAUAUUGCAUUUGAAGAGCUGCACCAGAAAUGAGAUUAAGUCGGUGUUGAGGUGCCAAUUUUCCAGCCAAAUGCAAUAUAUUGUUGCCAAAAAUAUCUUCAGAGACUAAGAGUCGAUGCUUGUAAUCACUCAUUUGAUAUACAAGGUUGAAAACUUUUUCUUGGCGGUUCAUCACUGCAAUAUGAAAUAGGUUAUGAUUCUCAUGAUCUGAAAACCAAAUAGCAUGAGGAAAUAUGUCCAUUAUUUCUUCUACAAUUUCAUAAAUCCCCAACUCUGCUGCUAGAAGAAACGGUCUUCUAAGCAUCAUGGAAGCUUUCUCAUAAUCCAGACAUGCAAUUUCAGUGCACAGGCAUUUGGUGAGCUGAAGUGUUUGGUGAUGCAUCAAUUUUAUAUCUCGUAUAACCUUCAUGUGGGGAACUGCAAAAGGAUCAAGCUCACAAAUGGAAUGACUUCAAAUUGAAAAACAGCAAGCUUAAUUAACUAGCAGCGUCCCUCCUUCCUACCUAACAUUGCAAGGAUUCUCCAGGAGACCCUCACCCAUGUUUCAACAGCUGAAUGAAAAAAGGGAAAAGAUUAGGAUCCAAGUGAUCCCUGGUAACAACUUGCCAUGGGCCUACCUUAUUAUAUAGAAGAAAUUUUAAGCAUUCAAGGGAACAAGGCACUGAGACGAACCAUAAUUUCUUGCUCGCUGUUGCGAAGAUCCUGUUACAAGUUGAUUUUGCGGGUUCUCCACAUCUACAGCACUGGGUUGGCGUCUGGAAUUUAACUUCAUUGGAGCACCUUCAGUUCAAGGCAGCGGUUAAGAAUCUUGAACAACAACACUUGUCAAACUCUACUGCUUUUAUGAUGUCUGAGAUACUCACAGCAAUAUAUCAAGCGAGUCCAGAAAUUGUGUUUUAUACCACUAGGAAACGCCGAAGUUUUUUAUGCCACUGCACUCAAAAGCGAUUCACCACCAUAAUAUUCCACUGUAGCUAAGGGAGGGUGACUUUCAACCAGUUUCAAAGCCAUGUCUGCAGAAAUAUUUAACAUUAAUGAAAAGAUUGACUCGCAGAGCAAGUAUUUUGUAGGGAAAGACUUAACAACAUCUAGUUACCGUAGAACCCAGCAAGAACAAGAAGAUUCAUAAAGAAAACGCCAGGCUUAUCAGCAGAAUAUUCAGUUGCCUGCAAAUAGUCUCCGCUGACUUCUAAUAAAUAGGAAAUCAUCUCCUUUUGGGCAUAGCGAGCUGCCUCAAGCAGAGGGACCCGCCCAUCAUGGUUUGCAAUCUGAGGCAGAUCUGGUUGUUUGGUCACUAUCAUUAUGGCCGCUCUGGUGUUGCCGACAAUUGCAGCAAUAGAGAGGACAGUGUCACCACUGGAAUUUUGCAAACCCAACUGGUGUCUCGACAUCUUGUUCAACAAAUACAUGACAAUGUGAUUGGCCAUUCCAGUCCCAACAGCUAUGUGAAGAGCAGUGUCCAAAUCUACAGUGAUCCUAGCCUCUAAGGCAAGUGGAUCACCAUCGCAGAUGCUUUUGACGGUCGCCAGAUCGCCUUUGAGAACAGCUUUAUAUAGUGGCCGGUAUGUGGUAAGAUUUCUCAUGUUCUCUGCAACAACAGACAGAAUACACAAAGAUCAAGUAAUUCUGACUGAAAACAACUUUUUUUUAAAAAAAAAAAAAAAAAGAGGAAGAACUAUUAAUUAC